Molecule: transfer RNA, 76 nt
Filed under: Ruminiclostridium sp.
Lineage: Bacteria; Bacillati; Bacillota; Clostridia; Eubacteriales; Oscillospiraceae
Also listed under: 1 other name
Description: tRNA-Thr
Rfam family: tRNA
About the family: Transfer RNA (tRNA) molecules are approximately 80 nucleotides in length. Their secondary structure includes four short double-helical elements and three loops (D, anti-codon, and T loops).
Source: RNAcentral
GCUGAUAUGGCUCAGUCGGCAGAGCACAUCCUUGGUAAGGAUGAGGUCGUCGGUUCGAUUCCGACUAUCAGCUCCA